GGCGCAGUGGACGAAUCGGAAGAGUCGCCGCGCUUUCACCGCGGGUCGUUUGCGGGUUCGAAUCCCGUCUGCGCUA
This 76-nucleotide transfer RNA is filed under the name Kribbella qitaiheensis. RNAcentral describes it as "tRNA-Glu". It matches the Rfam family "tRNA". Rfam says of the family: Transfer RNA (tRNA) molecules are approximately 80 nucleotides in length. Their secondary structure includes four short double-helical elements and three loops (D, anti-codon, and T loops). Lineage: Bacteria; Bacillati; Actinomycetota; Actinomycetes; Propionibacteriales; Kribbellaceae. The record is from RNAcentral.